This 429-nucleotide ribosomal RNA is filed under the name Chloroflexota bacterium. RNAcentral's name for it is "Chloroflexi bacterium partial 16S ribosomal RNA". It matches the Rfam family "Bacterial small subunit ribosomal RNA", at positions 355 to 776 of the family's 1533-position model. Lineage: Bacteria; Bacillati; Chloroflexota. The record is from RNAcentral.
UGGGGAAUAUUGCACAAUGGGCGCAAGCCUGAUGCAGCCAUGCCGCGUGUAUGAAGAAGGCCUUCGGGUUGUAAAGUACUUUCAGUCGGGAGGAAGGUGGUAAGGUUAAUAACCUUAUCAAUUGACGUUACCGACAGAAGAAGCACCGGCUAACUCCGUGCCAGCAGCCGCGGUAAUACGGAGGGUGCAAGCGUUAAUCGGAAUUACUGGGCGUAAAGCGCACGCAGGCGGUUGAUUGAGUCAGAUGUGAAAUCCCCGGGCUUAACCCGGGAAUUGCAUCUGAUACUGGUCAGCUAGAGUCUUGUAGAGGGGGGUAGAAUUCCAUGUGUAGCGGUGAAAUGCGUAGAGAUGUGGAGGAAUACCGGUGGCGAAGGCGGCCCCCUGGACAAAGACUGACGCUCAGGUGCGAAGGCGUGGGGAGCAAACAGG